RNAcentral lists this ribosomal RNA (438 nucleotides) under uncultured bacterium. Its description in RNAcentral is "bacterial SSU rRNA". It matches the Rfam family "Bacterial small subunit ribosomal RNA", at positions 352 to 782 of the family's 1533-position model. The record is from RNAcentral.
CAGUGGGGAAUAUUGGACAAUGGGCGCAAGCCUGAUCCAGCAAUGCCGCGUGUGUGAAGAAGGCCUUCGGGUUGUAAAGCACUUUUAUCAGGAGCGAAAUACUACCGGCUAAUAUCCGGUGGGGCUGACGGUACCUGAGGAAUAAGCACCGGCUAACUUCGUGCCAGCAGCCGCGGUAAUACGAAGGGUGCAAGCGUUAAUCGGAAUUACUGGGCGUAAAGGGUGCGUAGGCGGUUCGUUAAGUCUGUUGUGAAAUCCCCGGGCUCAACCUGGGAAUGGCAAUGGAUACUGGCGAGCUAGAGUGUGUCAGAGGAUGGUGGAAUUCCCGGUGUAGCGGUGAAAUGCGUAGAGAUCGGGAGGAACAUCAGUGGCGAAGGCGGCCAUCUGGGACAACACUGACGCUGAAGCACGAAAGCGUGGGGAGCAAACAGGAUUAGA